UUGAACGCUGGCGGAAUGCUUUACCCCUGCAAGUCGAGCGGCAGCACGGGGGCAACCCUGGUGGCGAGCGGCGAACGGGUGAGUAAUACAUCGGAACAUGCCCAGUCGUGGGGGAUAACACUUCGAAAGAAGUGCUAAUACCGCAUACGUCCUGAGGGGGAAAGCGGGGGAUCGCAAGACCUCGCGCGAUUGGAGUGGCCGAUGUCAGAUUAGCUAGUUGGUGGGGUAAAGGCCUACCAAGGCAACGAUCUGUAGCUGGUCUGAGAGGAUGAUCAGCCACACUGGGACUGAGACACGGCCCAGACUCCUACGGGAGGCAGCAGUGGGGAAUUUUGGACAAUGGGGGCAACCCUGAUCCAGCCAUUCCGCGUGAGUGAAGAAGGCCUUCGGGUUGUAAAGCUCUUUCGGCAGGAACGAAACGGUGAGCUCUAACAUAGCUUGCUAAUGACGGUACCUGAAGAAGAAGCACCGGCUAACUACGUG
RNAcentral lists this ribosomal RNA (483 nucleotides) under uncultured bacterium. Its description in RNAcentral is "partial 16S ribosomal RNA". It matches the Rfam family "Bacterial small subunit ribosomal RNA", at positions 30 to 507 of the family's 1533-position model. The record is from RNAcentral.